CUUAGCUGUGCUUUUAUAUGGUAUUCCUAUUUGUGUGCAAAUGGUGUUUUACACCAAGGACCAUGAAGAUCUACAAGGGACACCUAGAGCAUCUGUGCUUGAUUAUUUACUCAGAACUGCACAGCCUCACUGAACCCAUGUCACCAUCAGCAACAAUGACAGCUGGGACAUUGGCCAUCUGUCUUCUCAAUGACAUGAGCAACUGGGCACAUAAAAGGGCACUUUUCUUUAGAUGCGAAAACUGUUACAGCAUCUACUACACAUGUUAGAAGGAACAGAAAUCAGAUUGCAAAUUAUCUGAGCAGUCAACAUUAAACAUUCAGCUCUGAAGAUAAAGAUCUGGAGUGUUAAUGGA
Molecule: long non-coding RNA, 355 nt
Organism: Schistocerca nitens (vagrant locust)
Lineage: Eukaryota; Metazoa; Arthropoda; Insecta; Orthoptera; Acrididae
Exons: 3
Source: RefSeq, a predicted model, not a curated record